RNAcentral lists this ribosomal RNA (254 nucleotides) under uncultured bacterium. RNAcentral's name for it is "partial 16S ribosomal RNA". It matches the Rfam family "Bacterial small subunit ribosomal RNA", at positions 524 to 776 of the family's 1533-position model. The record is from RNAcentral.
UACGUAGGGGGCAAGCGUUGUCCGGAUUUAUUGGGCGUAAAGAGCUCGUAGGUGGUUCGGUAAGUCGGAUGUGAAAUCUCCAGGCUCAACCUGGAGGGGUCAUUCGAUACUGCCGUGACUAGAGUUCGGUAGGGGAGUGUGGAAUUCCUGGUGGAGCGGUGAAAUGCGCAGAUAUCAGGAAGAACACCAAUGGCGAAAGCAGCUCUCUGGGACGGUACUGACGCUGAGACGCGAAAGCGUGGGGAGCAAACAGG